RNAcentral lists this long non-coding RNA (1332 nucleotides) under Gadus morhua (Atlantic cod). RNAcentral describes it as "lncRNA (ENSGMOG00000035600.1)". The record is from RNAcentral. Lineage: Eukaryota; Metazoa; Chordata; Actinopteri; Gadiformes; Gadidae.
CUUAAUCAGAUCACUGUUGUUUGCUAUUUAUUCAUGAAUUUCACGUUUGAAUAAGAGAUAGAAUAACUAUCGUAUGGUUUACGUUUUCGGUAUUGCCAAGGUAGCCUACAUCAAAUAUGAUGUAGGCCUACCGUAUUAUUUUAAGAGUGAUAAAUUGUGAUGGAUCCAUAUCUUUUAUUGUAUUGUUUUAACGCAAGCGUAGCUGUUGUGAUGGUCUGUCCCUGCUCGGUGUUUGGCACGUGGCCCAACUGGGUGGAGCGUAGCUUAGCCACUGUGUUGCUUUGCGUUGUUUUCUCCACCGCACGCCAGUGCUUAUGCAGCGAUAGCAGAAGAAGGACCUCAUGUGCAGAGGAGACGCCGAUGCAAAUUGGGGAAUUACUCCGGGACAUCCCUUGAAUUGACUUGACAUUCGUCCCGCAUUGGACACUGGAUUUUGUGUUCUGAUAACCCAAAGCACCCGUUUCAUUUGCCGCACCGUUUGCAGGGGGGGGCUGCAGAACCUGCUGGGGAUCGCUGCUGCUGCUGUCACCGAGUCGCGGGAAGACAAGGACGUUCCACCUAUUCACUUGUGAUCACCGCACAGGGCUGUUUUGUGAAGCACCUCCGUGAUACCAACACACACACUCUCACCUGGAAGUGUCCGUGGAUCGUCAAAUGUUGUGCCGUGGCCCAAUGGACUUGAGCGUGCGAGGAGAAUGCUAAUGAACGUCGCGCUGCGUCCUGCCGACGCGCGCUAUCCUCCAGUGCUGCUGAGGGGCGACAGCAGAGGUCAUUCCCUUCUAUCCCUCGUCUUAUUUUCUUCAUCUUGGUCUGCUUUCACCCACAGAGGUAUUUCCAUGGCAGCCAGUGUGUGUGUGUGUGUGUGUGUGUGUGUGUGUGUGUGUGUGUGUGUGUGUGUGUGUGUGUGUGUGUGUGUGUGUGUGUGUGUGUGUGUGUGUGUGUGUUUGUAUAUGAAUGUAUGUAUGUAUGUAAGGUAUUCUGGGUGCGCACAAUGUGUCCACACGCAUCACAUUCAGUCAACAAUACUAUACUGAACAGAUUCUAGGGCUAUAGCGUUUAAUGACAACAACAACAACGUUUUAAUGAGUGUUUUCAGCACUGUUUAUUGGGUGCCGAAGGGCUUUUAUUUUUUAGAAUAAUUAAGAUGUGGAUUGUAUGCCUAGUUUUAAGAGCUUGUGGGUGAAAAUGAUAGUCACUUGGUGAGUCUGUGUGGGGCUGAAUGUUUAGAUGGGGUAAGGGGAGUUUGAGGGGUAGUUGGUGUGCAGCUAGUGUUGUAGGGUAUGGGAACUGUGUGUGUGUGUGUGUGUGUGUGUGUGUGUGUGUGUGUGUGUG